Molecule: ribosomal RNA, 254 nt
Filed under: uncultured bacterium
Lineage: Bacteria
Description: partial 16S ribosomal RNA
Rfam family: Bacterial small subunit ribosomal RNA
Source: RNAcentral
CACGUAGGGUGCGAGCGUUGUCCGGAAUUAUUGGGCGUAAAGAGCUCGUAGGCGGUGUGUCGCGUCGGCCGUGAAAACCUGCAGCUUAACUGUGGGCGUGCGGUCGAUACGGGCAUCACUGGAGUUCGGCAGGGGAGACUGGAAUUCCUGGUGUAGCGGUGAAAUGCGCAGAUAUCAGGAGGAACACCGGUGGCGAAGGCGGGUCUCUGGGCCGAUACUGACGCUGAGGAGCGUAAGCGUGGGGAGCGAACAGG